RNAcentral lists this long non-coding RNA (524 nucleotides) under Capsicum annuum. RNAcentral's name for it is "long non-coding RNA (CANN_LNC018485)". The record is from RNAcentral. Lineage: Eukaryota; Viridiplantae; Streptophyta; Magnoliopsida; Solanales; Solanaceae.
AUGCCUCCGCGACGCGUUGAUGUUCCAGGUGGUACACUAUCUUAGAAAAAUGGCUCUAACUCUUUACCUGAGUAUCGGAUUUAGGCAAAUUUUAUAUCGUUGGAAAGCUGACAGAAUUUCCUAGGCAAUGGUAAGCUCUAAAUUAAAAAAUACUGAGUAUUUAGAAAAAUUUAUAUAGGAUAACCCAUGUACUGAGGGUUGAUUUACAUUAUUGAAAUACGGGGUAUUAGAAUAUCUCUCCCUUGGGAACAUUCAUCCUUGAAUGAGACUGAUUUGGCUAAGAAACACUGAUAGAAUGAGUUUACACACUGAACAUGCAUAUUUGAUCCAUGAGUACAUAGCUGAACUGAUUCAUGAAUGCAUGAUUAUCAUAGAGAUAAUAUGCAAUGGUAAAUAAUACCAAGUUUAUAACUGUGACUGAACAUGGAACUAAGUAAAGCUAAGAAAGACUGUUACCUUAAACUAAAUCUAAAUUUGCGGAGAAGAGGUGAGGAUACUUUGUCUGCAUAACUGCCUCUGCUUCC